RNAcentral lists this ribosomal RNA (492 nucleotides) under uncultured bacterium. RNAcentral describes it as "partial 16S ribosomal RNA". It matches the Rfam family "Bacterial small subunit ribosomal RNA", at positions 29 to 507 of the family's 1533-position model. The record is from RNAcentral.
AGUGAACGCUGGCGGUGGGCCUAACACAUGCAAGUCGAGCGGCAGCACAGUAAGAGCUUGCUCUUACGGGUGGCGAGUGGCGGACGGGUGAGGAAUACAUCGGAAUCUACUUUUUCGUGGGGGAUAACGUAGGGAAACUUACGCUAAUACCGCAUACGACCUACGGGUGAAAGCAGGGGAUCUUCGGACCUUGCGCGAUUGAAUGAGCCGAUGUCGGAUUAGCUAGUUGGCGGGGUAAAGGCCCACCAAGGCGACGAUCCGUAGCUGGUCUGAGAGGAUGAUCAGCCACACUGGAACUGAGACACGGUCCAGACUCCUACGGGAGGCAGCAGUGGGGAAUAUUGGACAAUGGGCGCAAGCCUGAUCCAGCCAUACCGCGUGGGUGAAGAAGGCCUUCGGGUUGUAAAGCCCUUUUGUUGGGAAAGAAAAGCAGCAGGUUAAUACCCCGCUGUUCUGACGGUACCCAAAGAAUAAGCACCGGCUAACUUCGUG